This 279-nucleotide ribosomal RNA is filed under the name uncultured bacterium. RNAcentral's name for it is "partial 16S ribosomal RNA". It matches the Rfam family "Bacterial small subunit ribosomal RNA", at positions 506 to 784 of the family's 1533-position model. The record is from RNAcentral.
UGCCAGCCGCCGCGGUAAUACGAGGGGGGCAAGUGUUGUUCGGAUUUACUGGGUGUAAAGGGAGUGUAGGCGGAUUUGAAAGUCAGAAGUGAAAUUUUCAUGCUUAACGUGGAAACUGCUUUUGAAACUUCUUGUCUUGAAUGUUGGAGAGGGUAACGGAAUUCCAGGUGUAGCGGUGGAAUGCGUAGAUAUCAGGAAGAACACCUGUGGCGAAGGCGGCUAGCUGGGCCUGUUCUGACGCUCAUGUGCGAAAGCGUGGGGAGCAAACAGGAUUAGAUA